This is a long non-coding RNA of Zootoca vivipara (common lizard), 684 nucleotides long. RefSeq lists it as uncharacterized. Lineage: Eukaryota; Metazoa; Chordata; Lepidosauria; Squamata; Lacertidae. The record is from RefSeq and is a predicted model, not a curated record.
UUAAUAAAGGUAUUCUUGAACACCUUUUUUAAUUCAUUAUAGAUGAGUAACACUCCAAAGAAGAUUAAAUAAAGCCUCUGGACUGAGAGACACACCAUUCAUUUAACGCACUUUGUUUCCUGCCAUGAACCGACAGAACCUGGGCAUUGUGGCUGUGAGAACAGAAUGCUGGACUAGGUGGGCCAUUGACCUGGUCCAGAAGGCUGAUCUGAUGUUCUUAUGAGGAAAGAUGGAUCUGAUUCCCAGAUCCAGGAAGCCCACUCUUCUCCCCUGGCCCUAGGAGGACCCACUUGCCAAUUGCAAAGAAGGUGUCAAGUGGGCUGGGCUGGAGAGAGAGCACAAUUCAGGGCUUGGUCUUGGUGUGCUGGUGGCUGGGAUGGAGGCUCUGACAUGCUGCUGUGUGCUUCCCCACCACAGGAAAUUAUCAAAGCGGAGCCGGCGGUGCCGUUUUCAACUUACCUCCUCCGCCAGGCGAUGGAGACCGUCGCGCAGAUGACUGCCUUGAGACCACCCAUGAACAGCUGUUGAAGACCACCAUCAAAAAGGUCUUCGCUUUGCCCUUGACGGGCAAAGCGACACAGAGCCAGGACUUCUACCAGCAGACGGUAAAUGCAUGCAUAAACAUGCUGAGCGGCUUGCUGUCAGAGGCCCCCUCCCUGAAGACCCUGCAGCAGAUAUUGGAGG